This 425-nucleotide ribosomal RNA is filed under the name uncultured bacterium. Its description in RNAcentral is "partial 16S ribosomal RNA". It matches the Rfam family "Bacterial small subunit ribosomal RNA", at positions 354 to 796 of the family's 1533-position model. The record is from RNAcentral.
GUGGGGAAUCUUGCGCAAUGGGCGAAAGCCUGACGCAGCCAUGCCGCGUGAAUGAUGAAGGUCUUAGGAUUGUAAAAUUCUUUCACCGGGGACGAUAAUGAUGGUACCCGGAGAAGAAGCUCCGGCUAACUUCGUGCCAGCAGCCGCGGUAAUACGAAGGGGGCUAGCGUUGCUCGGAAUUACUGGGCGUAAAGGGCGCGUAGGCGGACAGCUUAGUCAGAGGUGAAAGCCCAGGGCUCAACCUUGGAAUUGCCUUUGAUACUGGCUGUCUUGAGUUUGGGAGAGGUGAGUGGAACUCCGAGUGUAGAGGUGAAAUUCGUAGAUAUUCGGAAGAACACCAGUGGCGAAGGCGACUCACUGGCCCAAUACUGACGCUGAGGCGCGAAAGCGUGGGGAGCAAACAGGAUUAGAUACCCGGGUAGUCC